CUUUUAAUAUAUCGAAUAUAGAACCGUGUCCAAAAAAACCUCAAUUCAAACAGAUUUAAAAUCAGUUGAAAAACCUUAAUACUAAUUCCAAAUCACGAAUUUUGAACCGACCGUAUGUGAAUCUCACCGGAGAUCGGAGUAGGGUUGUUGCUUCUGCCUCACCAGAGAUACGAUAGACUCGACAGUCACAAAAUGAUGUUUCCCCAACUAGACUUCACCAGAAAAACUAGAGAACAGAGGGGUUUAGGGAUUUAGGAUGGGUGCGAGUGACUAGGUUCAGCAAAAACUCCGAUUUCGGCGAAAGACUCGCUAAAAACCCCCAAAAGCAGUCGGCCUCCACAUUGUUUUCUCUCUCUUUCUCCUCCGAUUCACUAUUGCAUCUCUCCUGUAAACUAAAAAGGAAGGAGAGAAGAUGAAGAUCUGUGGCCUCCUCCCCUUUUCUUUCUCUGUGUGUAUAUGUGCUAAGAGUGUGUGGAAUUGUUGAUGGUGAGGGUCAGUCUGUGUGCGUUUUUUGCGUGCUCUGUUAAUGAAAAUGUGAGUCUGUUGUACUAUAUUCAAUUCCAAAAUGGAAAAAAUAGAGGUUGUGGGUUUUUGCGUAUACUCCCCUCUAUGAGGUUUUGUGAGGUGUCUUAUAUACCCAUGAAAAAAAAUGAAGGUUUUUU
Molecule: long non-coding RNA, 662 nt
Filed under: Capsicum annuum
Lineage: Eukaryota; Viridiplantae; Streptophyta; Magnoliopsida; Solanales; Solanaceae
Description: long non-coding RNA (CANN_LNC019971)
Source: RNAcentral